GACGAACGCUGGCGGCGUGCUUAACACAUGCAAGUCGAACGGAAAGGCCCUGCUUUUGUGGGGUGCUCGAGUGGCGAACGGGUGAGUAACACGUGAGUAACCUGCCCUUGACUUUGGGAUAACUUCAGGAAACUGGGGCUAAUAACGGAUAGGAGCUCCUGCUGCAUGGUGGGGGUUGGAAAGUUUCGGCGGUUGGGGAUGGACUCGCGGAUUAUCAGCUUGUUGGUGGGGUAGUGGCUUACCAAGGCUUUGACGGGUAGCCGGCCUGAGAGGGUGACCGGCCACAUUGGGACUGAGAUACGGCCCAGACUCCUACGGGAGGCAGCAGUGGGGAAUAUUGCACAAUGGGCGGAAGCCUGAUGCAGCAACGCCGCUUGCGGGAUGACGGCCUUCGGGUUGUAAACCGCUUUCGCCUGUGACGAAGCGUGAGUGACGGUAAUGGGUAAAGAAGCACCGGCUAACUACGUG
Molecule: ribosomal RNA, 468 nt
Filed under: uncultured bacterium
Lineage: Bacteria
Description: partial 16S ribosomal RNA
Rfam family: Bacterial small subunit ribosomal RNA
Source: RNAcentral